RNAcentral lists this ribosomal RNA (253 nucleotides) under uncultured bacterium. RNAcentral describes it as "partial 16S ribosomal RNA". It matches the Rfam family "Bacterial small subunit ribosomal RNA", at positions 524 to 776 of the family's 1533-position model. The record is from RNAcentral.
UACGUAGGGUGCAAGCGUUGUCCGGAAUUAUUGGGCGUAAAGAGCUCGUAGGCGGCUUGUCGCGUCGUUCGUGAAAACCCACAGCUCAACUGUGGGCUUGCGGUCGAUACGGGCAGGCUGGAGUUCGGUAGGGGAGACUGGAAUUCCUGGUGUAGCGGUGAAAUGCGCAGAUAUCAGGAGGAACACCGGUGGCGAAGGCGGGUCUCUGGGCCGAUACUGACGCUGAGGAGCGAAAGCGUGGGGAGCGAACAGG